UAUCUAUAGUACUCUAUAGGAACCUCUUGUUUUUAUUCUAUCUAUGCGCUUAAUUUUAAUUACUUGUAAAAAUGUAUAAGUGUAGGAAUUAAAGUAGUGAUCGAGAAAAGUUUAAAAUGACGAGAAAGGAAAAAGGAAAAAUGUUUUUGUUGAUUUUAUUGAUUGGAGAGACAAGUCUCAUGCCUACGUACCCGAGGGAUCAAAUCACCGUAGUUCGGGGUAAAAAGUCGAUUUGUUUGUUGGUUUGCUUUUAUGGUUUUGAAAAAAAGGGUUUUAAAGAUGAAAAAAAGCCAAAGUGGCAUAAAAUGUAAGGUUGGUUGAUUUUUAUUUGGUGAAAGAAAGUCUAAAUGAUUAGGAUUGAUUGAUGUUUGAUUUAGAAAAGAGGCGCGCUUGCUUGGUUUGAAGUCCAAGGUUUAUUGUGAAAAUGGUUUGAANN
Molecule: long non-coding RNA, 436 nt
Filed under: Trifolium pratense (red clover)
Lineage: Eukaryota; Viridiplantae; Streptophyta; Magnoliopsida; Fabales; Fabaceae
Description: long non-coding RNA (TPRA_LNC008480)
Source: RNAcentral